GAUCCUACGGGACGCAGCAGUGGGGAACAUUGCACAAUGGGGGAAACCCUGAUGCAGCGACGCCGCGUGAGUGAAGAAGUAUUUCGGUAUGUAAAGCUCUAUCAGCAGGAACGAGACAAGACGGUACCUGACUAAGAAGCCCCGGCUAACUACGUGCCAGCAGCCGCGGUAAUACGUAGGGGGCAAGCGUUAUCCGGAAUUACUGGGUGUAAAGAGAGCGUAGACGGCUGUGCAAGUCUGGAGUGAAAGGCGGGGGCCCAACCCCCGG
RNAcentral lists this ribosomal RNA (268 nucleotides) under uncultured bacterium. Its description in RNAcentral is "partial 16S ribosomal RNA". It matches the Rfam family "Bacterial small subunit ribosomal RNA", at positions 335 to 619 of the family's 1533-position model. The record is from RNAcentral.